AACGAACGCUGGCGGCAGGCUUAACACAUGCAAGUCGAACGGGCCCUUCGGGGUCAGUGGCAGACGGGUGAGUAACGCGUGGGAACGUGCCCUUCAGUUUGGGAUAACCCAGGGAAACUUGGGCUAAUACCGGAUACGUGCGAGAGCAGAAAGAUUUAUCGCUGAAGGAUCGGCCCGCGUCUGAUUAGCUGGUUGGUAGGGUAAUGGCCUACCAAGGCGACGAUCAGUAGCUGGUCUGAGAGGAUGAUCAGCCACAUUGGGACGGAGACACGGCCCAAACUCCUACGGGAGGCAGCGGUGGGGAAUAUUGGACAAUGGGCGCAAGCUUGAUCCAGCCAUGCCGCGUGAGUGAUGAAGGCCUUAGGGUUGUAAAGCUCUUUCAGUGGGGACGAUAAUGACGGUACCCGCAGAAGAAGCCCCGGCUAACUUCGUGCCAGCCGCCGCAGUAA
RNAcentral lists this ribosomal RNA (449 nucleotides) under uncultured bacterium. Its description in RNAcentral is "partial 16S ribosomal RNA". It matches the Rfam family "Bacterial small subunit ribosomal RNA", at positions 29 to 523 of the family's 1533-position model. The record is from RNAcentral.